RNAcentral lists this ribosomal RNA (2903 nucleotides) under Escherichia coli. RNAcentral's name for it is "ribosomal RNA 23s ribosomal RNA". It matches the Rfam family "Bacterial large subunit ribosomal RNA". Lineage: Bacteria; Pseudomonadati; Pseudomonadota; Gammaproteobacteria; Enterobacterales; Enterobacteriaceae. The record is from RNAcentral.
UUAAGCGACUAAGCGUACACGGUGGAUGCCCUGGCAGUCAGAGGCGAUGAAGGACGUGCUAAUCUGCGAUAAGCGUCGGUGAGGUGAUAUGAACCGUUAUAACCGGCGAUUUCCGAAUGGGGAAACCCAGUGUGUUUCGACACACUAUCAUUAACUGAAUCCAUAGGUUAAUGAGGCGAACCGGGGGAACUGAAACAUCUAAGUACCCCGAGGAAAAGAAAUCAACCGAGAUUCCCCCAGUAGCGGCGAGCGAACGGGGAGGAGCCCAGAGCCUGAAUCAGUGUGUGUGUUAGUGGAAGCGUCUGGAAAGGCGCGCGAUACAGGGUGACAGCCCCGUACACAAAAAUGCACAUAUUGUGAGCUCGAUGAGUAGGGCGGGACACGUGGUAUCCUGUCUGAAUAUGGGGGACCAUCCUCCAAGGCUAAAUACUCCCUGACUGACCGAUAGUGAACCAGUACCGUGAGGGAAAGGCGAAAAGAACCCCGGCGAGGGGAGUGAAAAAGAACCUGAAACCGUGUACGUACAAGCAGUGGGAGCCUCUUUAUGGGGUGACUGCGUACCUUUGUAUAAUGGGUCAGCGACUUAUAUUCUGUAGCAAGGUUAACCGAAUAGGGGGAGCCGAAGGGAAACCGAGUCUUAACUGGGCGUUAAGUUGCAGGGUAUAGACCCGAAACCCGGUGAUCUAGCCAUGGGCAGGUUGAAGGUUGGGUAACACUAACUGGAGGACCGAACCGACUAAUGUUGAAAAAUUAGCGGAUGACUUGUGGCUGGGGGUGAAAGGCCAAUCAAACCGGGAGAUAGCUGGUUCUCCCCGAAAGCUAUUUAGGUAGCGCCUCGUGAAUUCAUCUCCGGGGGUAGAGCACUGUUUCGGCAAGGGGGUCAUCCCGACUUACCAACCCGAUGCAAACUGCGAAUACCGGAGAAUGUUAUCACGGGAGACACACGGCGGGUGCUAACGUCCGUCGUGAAGAGGGAAACAACCCAGACCGCCAGCUAAGGUCCCAAAGUCAUGGUUAAGUGGGAAACGAUGUGGGAAGGCCCAGACAGCCAGGAUGUUGGCUUAGAAGCAGCCAUCAUUUAAAGAAAGCGUAAUAGCUCACUGGUCGAGUCGGCCUGCGCGGAAGAUGUAACGGGGCUAAACCAUGCACCGAAGCUGCGGCAGCGACACUAUGUGUUGUUGGGUAGGGGGAGCGUUCUGUAAGCCUGUGAAGGUGGCCUGUGAGGGUUGCUGGAGGUAUCAGAAGUGCGAAUGCUGACAUAAGUAACGAUAAAGCGGGUGAAAAGCCCGCUCGCCGGAAGACCAAGGGUUCCUGUCCAACGUUAAUCGGGGCAGGGUGAGUCGACCCCUAAGGCGAGGCCGAAAGGCGUAGUCGAUGGGAAACAGGUUAAUAUUCCUGUACUUGGUGUUACUGCGAAGGGGGGACGGAGAAGGCUAUGUUGGCCGGGCGACGGUUGUCCCGGUUUAAGCGUGUAGGCUGGUUUUCCAGGCAAAUCCGGAAAACCAAGGCUGAGGCGUGAUGACGAGGCACUACGGUGCUGAAGCGACAAAUGCCCUGCUUCCGAGGAAAAGCCUCUAAGCAUCAGGUAACAUCAAAUCGUACCCCAAACCGACACAGGUGGUCAGGUAGAGAAUACCAAGGCGCUUGAGAGAACUCGGGUGAAGGAACUAGGCAAAAUGGUGCCGUAACUUCGGGAGAAGGCACGCUGAUAUGUAGGUGAAGCGACUUGCUCGUGGAGCUGAAAUCAGUCGAAGAUACCAGCUGGCUGCAACUGUUUAUUAAAAACACAGCACUGUGCAAACACGAAAGUGGACGUAUACGGUGUGACGCCUGCCCGGUGCCGGAAGGUUAAUUGAUGGGGUUAGCGGUAACGCGAAGCUCUUGAUCGAAGCCCCGGUAAACGGCGGCCGUAACUAUAACGGUCCUAAGGUAGCGAAAUUCCUUGUCGGGUAAGUUCCGACCUGCACGAAUGGCGUAAUGAUGGCCGGGGCUGUCUCCACCCGAGACUCAGUGAAAUUGAACUCGCUGUGAAGAUGCAGUGUACCCGCGGCAAGACGGAAAGACCCCGUGAACCUUUACUAUAGCUUGACACUGAACAUUGAGCCUUGAUGUGUAGGAUAGGUGGGAGGCUUUGAAGUGUGGACGCCAGUCUGCAUGGAGCCGACCUUGAAAUACCACCCUUUAAUGUUUGAUGUUCUAACGUUGGCCCGUAAUCCGGGUUGCGGACAGUGUCUGGUGGGUAGUUUGACUGGGGCGGUCUCCUCCUAAAGAGUAACGGAGGAGCACGAAGGUUGGCUAAUCCGGUCGGACAUCAGGAGGUUAGUGCAAUGGCAUAAGCCAGCUUGACUGCGAGCGUGACGGCGCGAGCAGGUGCGAAAGCAGGUCAUAGUGAUCCGGUGGUUCUGAAUGGAAGGGCCAUCGCUCAACGGAUAAAAGGUACUCCGGGGAUAACAGGCUGAUACCGCCCAAGAGUUCAUAUCGACGGCGGUGUUUGGCACCUCGAUGUCGGCUCAUCACAUCCUGGGGCUGAAGUAGGUCCCAAGGGUAUGGCUGUUCGCCAUUUAAAGUGGUACGCGAGCUGGGUUUAGAACGUCGUGAGACAGUUCGGUCCCUAUCUGCCGUGGGCGCUGGAGAACUGAGGGGGCUGCUCCUAGUACGAGAGGACCGGAGUGGACGCAUCACUGGUGUUCGGGUUGUCAUGCCAAUGGCACUGCCCGGUAGCUAAAUGCGGAAGAGAUAAGUGCUGAAAGCAUCUAAGCACGAAACUUGCCCCGAGAUGAGUUCUCCCUGAGACUUAGAGUCUCCUGAAGGAACGUUGAAGACGACGACGUUGAUAGGCCGGGUGUGUAAGCGCAGCGAUGCGUUGAGCUAACCGGUACUAAUGAACCGUGAGGCUUAACCUU